UUUUGGGAUGAAAUCUUGAUUCGUGUUGCUUGAAGAUUACUCAAUGUAAGCCACAAAUAGACUACAACGGUAUCUGAAG
This 79-nucleotide small nucleolar RNA is filed under the name Sungouiella intermedia. RNAcentral's name for it is "Candida intermedia Small nucleolar RNA snR79". It matches the Rfam family "Small nucleolar RNA snR79". Lineage: Eukaryota; Fungi; Ascomycota; Pichiomycetes; Serinales; Metschnikowiaceae. The record is from Rfam by way of RNAcentral.